RNAcentral lists this ribosomal RNA (338 nucleotides) under uncultured bacterium. Its description in RNAcentral is "bacterial SSU rRNA". It matches the Rfam family "Bacterial small subunit ribosomal RNA", at positions 28 to 366 of the family's 1533-position model. The record is from RNAcentral.
GACGAACGCUGGCGGCGUGCUUAACACAUGCAAGUCGAGCGGUAAGGCCCUUUCGGGGGUACGACGAGCGGCGAACGGGUGAGUAACACGUAGAUGACCUGCCCUCAGCUCUGGGAUAAGCCUGGGAAACUGGGUCUAAUACUGGAUAUGACUCCACGGUGCAUGUCGUGGGGUGGAAAGCCUUGUGCGGCUGAGGAUGGGCCCGCGGCCUAUCAGCUUGNGGUGGGGUGAUGGCCUACCAAGGCGACGACGGGUAGCCGGCCUGAGAGGGGCGACCGGCCACACUGGGACUGAGACACGGCCCAGACUCCUACGGGAGGCAGCAGUGGGGAAUCUUG